GCUGCCGCCGCUGCGGCUGCGGCUGCUGCUGCUGCUGCAACAGCCAACACCUGCUGUUGCUGCUGUUGUUGUUGCUGCUGCUGC
RNAcentral lists this small RNA (84 nucleotides) under Drosophila guanche. Lineage: Eukaryota; Metazoa; Arthropoda; Insecta; Diptera; Drosophilidae. The record is from RNAcentral.